AUACGUAGGUGGCAAGCGUUGUCCGGAAUUAUUGGGCGUAAAGCGCGCGCAGGUGGUUCCUUAAGUCUGAUGUGAAAGCCCCCGGCUCAACCGGGGAGGGUCAUUGGAAACUGGGGAACUUGAGUGCAGAAGAGGAUAGUGGAAUUCCAAGUGUAGCGGUGAAAUGCGUAGAGAUUUGGAGGAACACCAGUGGCGAAGGCGACUGUCUGGUCUGUAACUGACACUGAGGCGCGAAAGCGUGGGGAGCAAACAGGAUUAGAUACCCUGGUAGUCCACGCCGUAAACGAUGAGUGCUAAGUGUUGGGGGGUUUCCGCCCCUCAGUGCUGCAGCUAACGCAUUAAGCACUCCGCCUGGGGAGUACGGUCGCAAGACUGAAACUCAAAGGAAUUGACGGG
Molecule: ribosomal RNA, 396 nt
Filed under: uncultured bacterium
Lineage: Bacteria
Description: partial 16S ribosomal RNA
Rfam family: Bacterial small subunit ribosomal RNA
Source: RNAcentral